RNAcentral lists this long non-coding RNA (461 nucleotides) under Mus caroli (Ryukyu mouse). RNAcentral's name for it is "lncRNA (MGP_CAROLIEiJ_G0013751.1)". The record is from RNAcentral. Lineage: Eukaryota; Metazoa; Chordata; Mammalia; Rodentia; Muridae.
GUAGCGAAGGGCUGGAGGCAAACACCGAGCUCCCCCUGAGCCGCCUGGGAGCAGGGAGGGUUCUGCUACCCUGAGGUGCCCUCCCCGCGGGGCAGAGGGGACCAGCCCAACAUGGCUUCCAACACAGAAACCAGAAGGACCCAAUAAGAGACCAAAGACACGACUGGUAAUACAGAAAGGAGGGUGAUGCUGUGUGCAAGGCAGAUACAAGAUGGUUUUUCCAUAAGAGGAAGUGAUCAUGGCAACCAUGACCAAGAGGCUGUUGGGAAGGUGGGAUGACCUAGGAUUGACCUUGGACUUGACAUCACAGAAGCCAUUUCAACCUUCACAGGUGGGAGGAAGUCACAGCAUGUGCUUCUGAACCUGUGCUUGCCUUGAGGAACAACGGCAUGACACGGGGAUGUGGACGCUUUCAACCAGAAGAUUCUGUACGAUAGUGUCGGCACACAAGGAGUGUUCCG